This 477-nucleotide ribosomal RNA is filed under the name uncultured bacterium. RNAcentral's name for it is "partial 16S ribosomal RNA". It matches the Rfam family "Bacterial small subunit ribosomal RNA", at positions 29 to 507 of the family's 1533-position model. The record is from RNAcentral.
AUGAACGCUGGCGGCGUGCUUAACACAUGCCAGUCGAACGAGAAAUGGAGACGGAAACCUUCGGGCGGAAGGCUUCAUUUCGAGUGGCGGACGGGUGAGUAACGCGUGGGUAACCUGCCUCAUACAGGGGGAUAACAGUUGGAAACGACUGUUAAUACCGCAUAAGACCACAGCACCGCAUGGUGCGGGGGUAAAAACUCCGGUGGUAUGAGAUGGACCCGCGUUCGAUUAGCCAGUUGGCGGGGUAACGGCCCACCAAAGCGACGAUCGAUAGCCGAUCUGAGAGGAUGACCGGCCACAUUGGGACUGAGACACGGCCCAAACUCCUACGGGAGGCAGCAGUGGGGAAUAUUGCACAAUGGGGGAAACCCUGAUGCAGCGACGCCGCGUGAGUGAAGAAGUACUUCGGUAUGUAAAGCUCUAUCAGCAGGGAAGAAAAUGACGGUACCUGAGUAAGAAGCCCCGGCUAACUACGUG